UACGUAGGUGGCAAGCGUUAUCCGGAUUUAUUGGGCGUAAAGGGAACGCAGGCGGUCUUUUAAGUCUGAUGUGAAAGCCUUCGGCUUAACCGGAGUAGUGCAUUGGAAACUGGGAGACUUGAGUGCAGAAGGGGAGAGUGGAACUCCAUGUGUAGCGGUGAAAUGCGUAGAUAUAUGGAGGAACACCGGUGGCGAAAGCGGCUCUCUGGCCUGUAACUGACACUGAGGCUCGAAAGCGUGGGGAGCAAACAGG
This 253-nucleotide ribosomal RNA is filed under the name uncultured bacterium. RNAcentral's name for it is "partial 16S ribosomal RNA". It matches the Rfam family "Bacterial small subunit ribosomal RNA", at positions 524 to 776 of the family's 1533-position model. The record is from RNAcentral.